Molecule: ribosomal RNA, 233 nt
Filed under: uncultured bacterium
Lineage: Bacteria
Description: partial 16S ribosomal RNA
Rfam family: Bacterial small subunit ribosomal RNA
Source: RNAcentral
UCCACGCCGUAAACGAUGUCAACUAACUGUUGGGACCUUCGAGGUCUUAGUGGUGGAGCUAACGUAUUAAGUUGACCGCCUGGGGAGUACGGCCGCAAGGCUAAAACUCAAAUGAAUUGACGGGGGCCCGCACAAGCGGUGGAGCAUGUGGUUUAAUUCGAUGCAACGCGAAGAACCUUACCUACCCUUGACAUCCUAAGAAUCUGUUAGAGAUAACUGAGUGCCCUCGGGAA